CGCAACCCUUGUCCUUAGUUACCAGCACGUUAUGGUGGGCACUCUAAGGAGACUGCCGGUGACGAAACCGGAGGAAGGUGGGGAUGACGUCAAGUCAUCAUGGCCCUUACGGCCUGGGCUACACACGUGCUACAAUGGUCGGUACAAAGGGUUGCCAAGCCGCGAGGUGGAGCUAAUCCCAAUAAAACCGAUCGUAGUCCGGAUCGCAGUCUGCAACUCGACUGCGUGAAGUCGGAAUCGCUAGUAAUCGUGAAUCAGAAUGUCACGGUGAAUACGUUCCCGGGCCUU
This 288-nucleotide ribosomal RNA is filed under the name uncultured Pseudomonas sp. Its description in RNAcentral is "partial 16S ribosomal RNA". It matches the Rfam family "Bacterial small subunit ribosomal RNA", at positions 1097 to 1382 of the family's 1533-position model. Lineage: Bacteria; Pseudomonadati; Pseudomonadota; Gammaproteobacteria; Pseudomonadales; Pseudomonadaceae. The record is from RNAcentral.